RNAcentral lists this ribosomal RNA (497 nucleotides) under uncultured bacterium. Its description in RNAcentral is "bacterial SSU rRNA". It matches the Rfam family "Bacterial small subunit ribosomal RNA", at positions 28 to 528 of the family's 1533-position model. The record is from RNAcentral.
GAUGAACGCUAGCUACAGGCUUAACACAUGCAAGUCGAGCGGUUUGUGCUUUUGCACAUUCAGCGGCAGACGGGUGAGUAACACGUAUCUAACCUUCCCCUUACUUGGGCAUAGCCUCUGGAAACGGAGAUUAAUUUCCGAUGUGGUGUACAUUUCGCAUGUUUUGCGCACCAAAGAUUUAUCGGUAAGGGAUGGGGAUGCGCUCCAUUAGGUAGUAGGUAGGGUAAUGGCCUACCUAGCCUAUGAUGGAUAGGGGUUCUGAGAGGAAGGUCCCCCACAUUGGAACUGCGACACGGUCCAAACUCCUACGGGAGGCAGCAGUGAGGAAUAUUGGUCAAUGGCCGGAAGGCUGAACCAGCCAAGUAGCGUGCAGGAAGACUGCCUUAUGGGUUGUAAACUGCUUUUUACGGGAAUUAAUUAUGAUCACGUGUGAUUAUUUGCAUGUACCGUAAGAAUAAGGAUCGGCUAACUCCGUGCCAGCAGCCGCGGUAAAGUGU